RNAcentral lists this transfer RNA (91 nucleotides) under Nitrosomonadaceae bacterium. Its description in RNAcentral is "tRNA-Tyr". It matches the Rfam family "tRNA". From Rfam's summary of the family: Transfer RNA (tRNA) molecules are approximately 80 nucleotides in length. Their secondary structure includes four short double-helical elements and three loops (D, anti-codon, and T loops). The record is from RNAcentral. Lineage: Bacteria; Pseudomonadati; Pseudomonadota; Betaproteobacteria; Nitrosomonadales; Nitrosomonadaceae.
GGGGUAGCAAGCGUACGGCUGGCGAACGCAGCGGGCUGUAAACCCGUAGCCUUAAUUGGUUCUGGUGGUUCGAUCCCACCCUACCCCACCA